CCUACGGGCGGCAGCAGUGAGGAAUAUUGGUCAAUGGACGGAAGUCUGAACCAGCCAUGCCGCGUGCAGGAAGACGGCUCUAUGAGUUGUAAACUGCUUUUGUACAAGGGUAAACCUGAAUACGUGUAUUCAGCUGAAAGUACUGUACGAAUAAGGAUCGGCUAACUCCGUGCCAGCAGCCGCGGUAAUACGGAGGAUCCAAGCGUUAUCCGGAUUUAUUGGGUUUAAAGGGUGCGUAGGCGGAUUGAUAAGUUAGAGGUGAAAUGUCCGAGCUUUACUCGGGAACUGCCUCUAAUACUGUUGAUCUAGAGAGUAGUUGCGGUAGGCGGAAUGUAUGGUGUAGCGGGGAAAUGCUUAGAGAUCAUACAGAACACCGAUUGCGAAGGCAGCUUACCAAGCUACUUCUGACGUUGAGGCACGAAAGCGUGGGGAGCAAACAGGAUUAGAUACCCCAGUAGUC
RNAcentral lists this ribosomal RNA (460 nucleotides) under uncultured bacterium. RNAcentral's name for it is "partial 16S ribosomal RNA". It matches the Rfam family "Bacterial small subunit ribosomal RNA", at positions 338 to 795 of the family's 1533-position model. The record is from RNAcentral.